This is a non-coding RNA of Balaenoptera ricei (Rice's whale), 72 nucleotides long. The record is from the annotation of a RefSeq genome assembly. NCBI's taxonomy places the organism in Eukaryota, Metazoa, Chordata, Mammalia, Artiodactyla, Balaenopteridae.
UCCCUGAUGGUCCAGUGGUUAGGACUCCACGCUUUUGCUGCCGAGGCCCAGGUUUAAUCCCUGGUUGGGGAA